This 253-nucleotide ribosomal RNA is filed under the name uncultured bacterium. Its description in RNAcentral is "partial 16S ribosomal RNA". It matches the Rfam family "Bacterial small subunit ribosomal RNA", at positions 524 to 776 of the family's 1533-position model. The record is from RNAcentral.
UACGAAGGGUGCAAGCGUUACUCGGAAUUACUGGGCGUAAAGCGUGCGUAGGUGGUUCGUUAAGUCUGUCGUGAAAGCCCCGGGCUCAACCUGGGAAUGGCGAUGGAUACUGGCGGGCUAGAGUGCGGUAGAGGAGAGUGGAAUUCCCGGUGUAGCAGUGAAAUGCGUAGAGAUCGGGAGGAACAUCUGUGGCGAAGGCGGCCAUCUGGACCAGCACUGACACUGAGGCACGAAAGCGUGGGGAGCAAACAGG